Vicugna pacos (alpaca) is the source of this 123-nucleotide non-coding RNA. The record is from RefSeq and is a predicted model, not a curated record. Lineage: Eukaryota; Metazoa; Chordata; Mammalia; Artiodactyla; Camelidae.
AAGGAUUGUUGGAUGACCGUUCUCUUUUUAAUUUCUUGAGGAACCUCCUUUACUGUUUUCUAUGGUGGCUGCAUUAAUUUACAUUCCCACCAACAGGGCACAGAGUUCCCUUUUCUCCACAUC